RNAcentral lists this ribosomal RNA (468 nucleotides) under uncultured bacterium. RNAcentral's name for it is "partial 16S ribosomal RNA". It matches the Rfam family "Bacterial small subunit ribosomal RNA", at positions 28 to 507 of the family's 1533-position model. The record is from RNAcentral.
GACGAACGCUGGCGGCGUGCUUAACACAUGCAAGUCGAACGGAAAGGCCCUGCUUUUGUGGGGUGCUCGAGUGGCGAACGGGUGAGUAACGCGUGAGUAACCUGCCCCUGACUUUGGGAUAACUUCAGGAAAAUGGGGCUCAUACCGGAUAGGAGCUCCUGCUGCAUGGUGGGGGUUGGAAAGUUUCGGCGGUUGGGGAUGGACUCGCGGCUUAUCAGCUUGUUGGUGGGGUAGUGGCUUACCAAGGCUUUGACGGGUAGCCGGCCUGAGAGGGUGACCGGCCACAUUGGGACUGAGAUACGGCCCAGACUCCUACGGGAGGCAGCAGUGGGGAAUAUUGCACAAUGGGCGGAAGCCUGAUGCAGCAACGCCGCGUGCGGGAUGACGGCCUUCGGGUUGUAAACCGCUUUCGCCUGUGACGAAGCGUGAGUGACGGUAAUGGGUAAAGAAGCACCGGCUAACUACGUG